Molecule: ribosomal RNA, 462 nt
Filed under: uncultured Sphingobacteriales bacterium
Lineage: Bacteria; Pseudomonadati; Bacteroidota; Sphingobacteriia; Sphingobacteriales
Description: bacterial SSU rRNA
Rfam family: Bacterial small subunit ribosomal RNA
Source: RNAcentral
GGGGCCCGCACAAGCGGAGGAACAUGUGGUUAAUUCGAUGAUACGCGAGGAACCUUACCUGGGCUUAAAUGGGGAGUGACAGCUGUCGAAAGAUGGUUUUCUUCGGACACUCUUCAAGGUGCUGCAUGGUUGUCGUCAGCUCGUGCCGUGAGGUGUCGGGUUAAGUCCCAUAACGAGCGCAACCCUUACCGUUAGUUACCAUCAGGUUAAGCUGGGGACUCUAGCGGGACUGCCACCGUAAGGUGAGAGGAAGUGGGGAUGACGUCAAAUCAGCACGGCCCUUAUGUCCAGGGCUACACACGUGUUACAAUGGCCGGUACAAAGGGCAGCUACUUCGCGAGAAGAUGCUAAUCUCGAAAGCCGGUCUCAGUUCGGAUCGAAGUCUGCAACCCGACUUCGUGAAGCUGGAUUCGCUAGUAAUCGCGCAUCAGCCAUGGCGCGGUGAAUACGUUCCCGGGCCUU